Molecule: long non-coding RNA, 366 nt
Filed under: Fragaria vesca (wild strawberry)
Lineage: Eukaryota; Viridiplantae; Streptophyta; Magnoliopsida; Rosales; Rosaceae
Description: long non-coding RNA (FVES_LNC001453)
Source: RNAcentral
GCUCUCAUGCUGCCAGCAACUGGGUUGACUCGGAUUUCGAUUGUGUUCAAGAGGUUUUAGAUACUGUGAUUCCAAAUCCUUUUGUUUCAAAUGGCAAGGGUGGAGUUACAGAUCUAGAAGGCAACUCAUCAUUUCCUGCAGAUGCAAGGCAACUCUCUAGUGAUGUGAAUUUCAGUCCAGACAAGGGUGAGAGUGAGUCAAGAAAUGGAUCAAGGAGCAAGAAAAAUCGUUACCGGGAGGAUGGCGAUUAUGUAGAUGAAGAGAGGAGCUACAAGCAGUCAGCAGUAUAUGCUGACGAAGCUGAGCCAGAAGAGAUGUUUGAUCAGGUACUACUCUGUCAGGGUGAUAAAUCACGUUCAUCUCCAC